RNAcentral lists this long non-coding RNA (2439 nucleotides) under Taeniopygia guttata (zebra finch). RNAcentral describes it as "lncRNA (ENSTGUG00000019857.1)". The record is from RNAcentral. Lineage: Eukaryota; Metazoa; Chordata; Aves; Passeriformes; Estrildidae.
AUGUCACUGGACACGCCCAUCCAGUCGGUGAUGUCAUUGCCCAUGCUGAUGAUGUCAUUGGCCACACCCAUCCUCUCACUGAUGUCAUUGGCCUCACCCAUCCUGUCAGUGAUGUCAUUGUCCACACCCAUCCUGUCGGUGACGUCAUUGGCUGUGUCCGUUCUGCCAUUGGCCGCCCGCGGCCUCCCAAUGACGUCACUGACUUUGCCGGCCACGCCCAUCUGGCUGAUGAUGCGAUUGGCCACGCCAAUUGGGCGUGUCCAUUGGGUGUGUCCAUUGGGCGUGUCCAUUGGGCGUGUCCAUUGGGCGUGUCCAUUGGGCGUGUCCAUUGGGCGUGUCCAUUGGGUGUGUCCAUUGGGUGUAUCAUUGGGUGUGUCCAUGGGCGUGUCCAUUGGGUGUGUCCAUGGGCGUGUCCAUUGGGUGUGUCCAUGGGUGUGUCCAUUGGGUGUGUCCAUUGGGUGUGUCCAUUGGGCGUGUCCAUUGGGCGUGUCCAUUGGGUGUGUCCAUUGGGCGUGUCCAUUGGGUGUGUCCCAGGUGGGCGUGUCCAUUGGGCGUGUCCAUUGGGUGUAUCCAUUGGGUGUGUCCAUUGGGUGUGUCCAUGUCCAUGGGCGUCUCCAUUGGGUGUCUCCAUUGGGUGUGUCCAUUGGGCGUGUCCAUUGGGUGUGUCCAUUGGGUGCAUCAUUGGGUGUGUCCAUUGGGUGUCUCAUUGGGUGUCUCCAUUGGGUGUGUCCAUUGGGUGUGUCCAUUGGGUGUGUCCAUUGGUCAUGUCCAUUGGGCGUGUCCAUUGGGUGUGUCCAUUGGGUGUGUCCAUUGGGCGUGUCCAUUGGGUGUGUCCAUUGGGUGUGUCCAUUGGGUGUGUCCAUUGGGCGUGUCCAUUGGGUUUAUCCAUUGGGCGUGUCCAUUGGGUGUGUCCAUUGGGAAUGUCCAUUGGGUGUGUCCAUGGGUGUGUCCAUGGGUGUGUCCAUUGGGUGUGUCCCAGGUGGGCGUGUCCCAGGUGGGCGUGUCCCAGAUGGGCGUGUCCAGGUGGGCGUGUCCCGGGCUCAGCCCCGCCCCCUCAGCCGCAGGUAACCGCCCCCGCUGACCAACGCCAGGGCCCCGCCCAGCCCGGCCAGCACCGGGCAAUGACCGGGACGGCCACCGAGCACCCCUGGGUGGCCACCGAGCACCCCUGGGUGGUCACCGAGCACCCCCGGGUGGCCACCGAGCACCCCUGGGUGGUCACUCAGGUCCCCAGGGUGGUCACCGCUGGCCAGGAACAGCCCCGCCCCCAUCAGCGCCGAAAUCCCUGCGGGGACACCCGGGGGGACAUCAGGAUGGGGACAUUUAUGUGGGGGUGACAUCGACGUGGGGGUGACAUCGACGUGGGGGUGACAUCGAUGUGGGGGUGACAUUGACAUGGGGGUGACAUCGAUGUGGGGGUGACAUCGAUGGGGGGGUGACAUCGAUGUGGGGGUGACAUCAAUGUGGGAGUGACAUCCAAGGGGGGGUGACACAGGAGGGUGACAUUGUGGGGGGACACGGGGUGGGACUGCAGGAGGGACACCGGGGGUGGUGACACUGGGGGGGGACAAUGGGGGCUGACAUUGGUGGGGGACAUGGGGUGGGGGUGACACCAGGGGUGACACCAGAGGGAGGGGUGACACUGGGGGGGUGACACCGAAGGGGGGGGUGACACCGGGGGUGACACUGGAGGGGUGGGUGACACUGGGGGGGUGACAUUGGUGGGGGACACAGGGUGGGGGUGACACUGGGGGUGGGGGGUGACACUGGAGGGGUGACAUUGGUGGGGGACAGGGGAAUUUGGGGGGUCCCAGGUGAAUUUUGGGGGGUCCCAGGUGAAUUUUGGGAGGGUCCCAGGGGAAUUUGGGGGAUCCCAGGGGAAUUUGGGGGGGUCCCAGGGGAGUUUGGAGUGUCCCAGGUGAGUUUGGUGGGGGUCCCAGGUGAGUUUGGGGGGUCCCAGGUGAGUUUGGGGGGGUCCCAGGUGAGUUUGGGGGGGUCCCAGGGGAUUUUUGGGGGUGGCAGGGGUUUUGGGGACCCCCGUUUUUGGGGGUCCCUGGGGAUUUUUGGGGGGUCCCAGGGAUUUUUGGGGGUCCCAGGGUAUUUUUGGGGGGUCCCAAGGGGAUUUUUGGGGGUCCCAGGGACUUUUAGGGGCUCUCAAGGGAUUUUUGGGGGGUCCCGGGGUAUUUUGGGGUCCCAGGGGUUUUGGGGACCCCCGUUUUUGGGGUGCAGACCUGCCAGCAGCUGCGCGGCGGCCGCGGGGAGGAAGAGGCGGCCGCGGGGCCCCCCCAGCAGCUGCCCGAGGAAGAGGAGGAGGCCGAAGGCCGAGAGCAGCAGCGCCGUCACCAUCAGCCCCUGAACCCCCCUGAGCAGCGCUGGGGGGCGGUGGGACCCCGUCAGACCCCCGAAAACGAGCAUGGCACCCCAAAAUACAGCAUGGAC